AGAGUUUGAUCCUGGCUCAGGACCCAUGCUGGCGGCGUGCUUAACACAUGCAAGUCGAACGGACCGAUUUGAAAGAAGCUUCGGCGGAAUUCAGAGAAGGUUAGUGGCGGACGGGUGAGUAACGCGUGAGGAACCUGCCUUUCAGAGGGGGACAACAGUUGGAAACGACUGCUAAUACCGCAUAAAGCGUAGAAGCGGCAUCGCAAUUACGCCAAAGAUUUAUCGCUGAAAGAUGGCCUCGCGUCUGAUUAGAUAGUUGGUGAGGUAACGGCUCACCAAGUCAACGAUCAGUAGCCGGACUGAGAGGUUGAACGGCCACAUUGGGACUGAGACACGGCCCAGACUCCUACGGGAGGCAGCAGUAGGGAAUUUUCGGCAAUGGGGGGAACCCUGACCGAGCAACGCCGCGUGAGUGAAGAAGGUCUUCGGAUUGUAAAGCUCUGUUGUACAGGAAGAACAGUAAUGAGGGAAUCAUUAUAUGACGGUACUGUACCAGAAAGCCACGGCUAACUACGUGCCAGCAGCCGCGGUAAUACGUAGGUGGCGAGCGUUAUCCGGAAUUAUUGGGCGUAAAGGGUGCGUAGGCGGCUUCUUAAGUUCAUGGUUAAAGCGUGGGGCUCAACCCCAUAAAGCCAUGGAUACUGGGAGGCUAGAGUACUGGAGAGGGCAGUGGAAUUCCAUGUGUAGCGGUAAAAUGCGUAGAGAUAUGGAGGAACACCGGUGGCGAAGGCGGCUGCCUGGACAGAAACUGACGCUGAGGCACGAAAGCGUGGGGAGCAAAUAGGAUUAGAUACCCUAGUAGUCCACGCUGUAAACGAUGAAUGCUGGGUAUCGGGGCAACUCGGUGCCGUAACUAACGCGAUAAGCAUUCCGCCUGUGGAGUAUGCACGCAAGUGUGAAACAUAAAGGAAUUGACGGGGGCCCGCACAAGCGGUGGAGUAUGUGGUUUAAUUCGACGCAACGCGAAGAACCUUACCAGGCCUUGACAUCCCUUGCGAAGUCCUAGAGAUAGGAUGGAGGUUAUCAAGGAGACAGGUGGUGCAUGGUUGUCGUCAGCUCGUGUCGUGAGAUGUUGGGUUAAGUCCCGUAACGAGCGCAACCCUUGUCUUCAGUUACCAUCAUUAAGUUGGGGACUCUGGAGAGACUGCCGGUGAUAAACCGGAGGAAGGUGGGGAUGACGUCAAAUCAUCAUGCCCCUUAUGGCCUGGGCUACACACGUACUACAAUGGCUAUUACAGCGUGCAGCGACCUGGUGACAGGAAGCGAAACACUGAAAGAUAGUCUCAGUUCGGAUUGAAGUCUGCAACUCGACUUCAUGAAGUUGGAAUCGCUAGUAAUCGCGGAUCAGCAUGCCGCGGUGAAUACGUUCUCGGGCCUUGCACUCACCGCCCGUCAA
This 1396-nucleotide ribosomal RNA is filed under the name uncultured bacterium. RNAcentral describes it as "bacterial SSU rRNA". It matches the Rfam family "Bacterial small subunit ribosomal RNA". The record is from RNAcentral.